This 253-nucleotide ribosomal RNA is filed under the name uncultured bacterium. RNAcentral's name for it is "partial 16S ribosomal RNA". It matches the Rfam family "Bacterial small subunit ribosomal RNA", at positions 524 to 776 of the family's 1533-position model. The record is from RNAcentral.
UACGUAGGGUGCGAGCGUUAAUCGGAAUUACUGGGCGUAAAGCGUGCGCAGGCGGUUAUGUAAGACAGAGGUGAAAUCCCCGGGCUCAACCUGGGAACUCCCUUUGUGACUGCAUGACUAGAGUACGGCAGAGGGGGAUGGAAUUCCGCGUGUAGCAGUGAAAUGCGUAGAUAUACGGAGGAACACCGAUGGCGAAGGCAAUCCCCUGGGCCUGUACUGACGCUCAUGCACGAAAGCGUGGGGAGAAAACAGG